This 693-nucleotide ribosomal RNA is filed under the name uncultured Bacteroidales bacterium. RNAcentral describes it as "bacterial SSU rRNA". It matches the Rfam family "Bacterial small subunit ribosomal RNA", at positions 52 to 734 of the family's 1533-position model. The record is from RNAcentral. Lineage: Bacteria; Pseudomonadati; Bacteroidota; Bacteroidia; Bacteroidales.
CACAUGCAAGUCGAGGGGCAGCAUGGUCUUAGCUUGCUAAGGCCGAUGGCGACCGGCGCACGGGUGAGUAACACGUAUCCAACCUGCCGUCUACUCUUGGACAGCCUUCUGAAAGGAAGAUUAAUACAAGAUGGCAUCAUGAGUCCGCAUGUUCACAUGAUUAAAGGUAUUCCGGUAGACGAUGGGGAUGCGUUCCAUUAGAUAGUAGGCGGGGUAACGGCCCACCUAGUCUUCGAUGGAUAGGGGUUCUGAGAGGAAGGUCCCCCACAUUGGAACUGAGACACGGUCCAAACUCCUACGGGAGGCAGCAGUGAGGAAUAUUGGUCAAUGGGCGAGAGCCUGAACCAGCCAAGUAGCGUGAAGGAUGACUGCCCUAUGGGUUGUAAACUUCUUUUAUAAAGGAAUAAAGUCGGGUAUGGAUACCCGUUUGCAUGUACUUUAUGAAUAAGGAUCGGCUAACUCCGUGCCAGCAGCCGCGGUAAUACGGAGGAUCCGAGCGUUAUCCGGAUUUAUUGGGUUUAAAGGGAGCGUAGAUGGAUGUUUAAGUCAGUUGUGAAAGUUUGCGGCUCAACCGUAAAAUUGCAGUUGAUACUGGAUAUCUUGAGUGCAGUUGAGGCAGGCGGAAUUCGUGGUGUAGCGGUGAAAUGCUUAGAUAUCACGAAGAACUCCGAUUGCGAAGGCAGCCUGCUAAGC